AGAAAGAAAGAAAGAAAGAAAGAAAGAAAGAAAGAAAGAAAGAAAGAAAGAAAGAAAGAAAGAAAGAAAGAAAGAAAGAAAGAAAGAAAGAGGCAACCCAGCUAUUUUUAAAAAUGACAAGGAGCAAAAUUUUUCAAGCUUAUCAGGCAAACAGCAAAUGAAUCCCAGACUCAGAGGCCUUCCUGCUCUGGGAGGGGUUUAGGAAUAAUUUUUCAACAUGUGAGCUCUAUCUUGUCUUCACGACUUCCCCUCCAUUAUGGCUGGGCUUGGGAGAGAGUCACUCACUGAAGACACACUUAAUCAAUGUCACACUCUUCCCCCCACCAAGGCUCCUGCUGCUUGGGCCUUAGUGAUGAAAUAUUAAUGAAAAGGGGAGGGGACAAAGAAAUGUGUGCUGAGUGGGCUGAAGAUUUUUCUUCUGAGAGUGUCACUGGGAGGGGUGGGAAAGGACAAAUACUUCCUAGAGUGUCACUGGGAGGGGUGAAGGACAAAUAGCCCUAAACUGUGAAAUGGUAAGAAGUUACAUUUUUAUAUAAGGACAAGGUAACGGGAUGCCUAAUGGAUUAAAAGCAGUGUUUUAUUUUACUUGCAAGAAAGGGCUGGCAAAGUGGCUCAUUUGGAUCCUCAGAACCCACUGUAGUUAGUGCCUGCAUUCCCAGUGCUGGGAGACUGAGUUGGGGGACUCCCGAGGCUUUGCUAGCCAGAGAGUCACUCCAAAUGAGUGAGCCCAGGUCCAGCAAGAAGCCCUGUCUUAGAAGAUAAGAUGGUGACUCAGAGAAUAGGAACUCUUACUGCUUCUCCGGAGGGCACUUUGGACUGCUCACACCUGCCUGUAUCUCCAAUUUCAGGGCCACUGAAACCUCUGGUCUCCAGGGGAGGUGGAUUCAUGUGCAACACACACACACACACACACACACACACACACACACACACACACACACACACACACACACACACAAAUCUUAAGAGAAUGAGAUAGAAAGCAAUUGAGGACCCUUGAUGAGGACCUCUAACUUCAUACCAAUCUCACCCCUGUGCCCAUCCCCAAGUCACACUCCACAAUGAGUCAGUAAAUUUCUGCCAAUGAGACUUGAGCUCUGGAGUCCUGCCUGACAUCUGUGAAAAUUUACCACAGGAGCCUACUGGUGAGAGCUGAGUGUGGGACUCAGCUGGAGGAAGCUUGCCCAUGGCCCUGGGUUCCGCUCCCAGAACCAGCAAAAGAAAUUGUCAGCCUUCUGCUUGCAAAUACUAGUGACAUAGAGGGUGGUGCUGAAGGUGAUGGAGAGGAGCAGGCAAGAGGAGACAGAAGUGCCAGAAGGAGUCUCCGGGAAGCCUCCACUCAUACUCUGCAGACUAAAGGCCUAAGAUUGCUUUGUUAGUUGGGAAGAAAAGCUAUCAGCAUUCAGCUGGGAACAUCAGAAGCCAUCUUGACAUUGAUGAGGAUAUGGGUCACAUUGCUCUUAGUACAAGUCCCUGUCACAAACCUAUGGUCACCUCUGCCACGGUGUAGUCAGAAUGCAUAAACCACUUACCCUCAAGAAGUGACACCCGCCAAGCCCCAAGGAGCUAACUCUCUACUAGUAUCUUAAAAGUGUCUUAUUCCUCUGAAUUGUCAGUGUCAUAAAAGUCAAAGGCGGCCAUGUAAAUCUUCUGAACUGAAAAAAAAGAUUAAAGAGACAAAAUACAAACAAAUGCUAUAUGAGGCCCCAGACAGGAAAAAUGACAAAGACAAAAACAUCAGUUCGGUUGCUAGAAUUGCAAUAAAAAUGAUAGUUUAGAUAAAUGUAUUACAUAAAUAUUGUUUGUUGUAGCCGGGAUGCGAUUAUGUAAAGCAUAAAGUAAGACAUAAGAGAAUCAUUAAGAUAGAUAACGUCUAUUUCUAGGUGGUUUAAAAUAUAUCGCAAUACCUAUGUGUGUUUCUAUAAACAUUGAUAUACAUAAUACAUACUUAUAUAUGAGGAAAAGAGAGCGUUCAUUCCAAUGUGGUAAGGUAUAAAAAAUGGCUGAGUCUAACUGGGGUGCACAGUUGUACUCUGCUGCUUCCUCACAAGCUUAACUCUUUCCAAAUAUCAAGUUUUAGAGUAGCCUUUAUUUUCCCUUAAGAGGAGAGUGAGCCUGAAAGCAGGGCGUGGCUUAGCCAUGGGUAUUCAGCUUGGCCAGCACUGGGUUACUCAUCUCUUCUUCCCUAUCCUGAGCUCAGUGUGAUCUUUACUAUAAGCUCAUACUCACUUGAGUUUCCUCCCACAAACUUAACUGAGGUCCCUUCAUGUGACCAAUCCCCAGUAGUAGGUGCCACAACUCUCCCCUCAGAUUCUGUCUGAACACAGUGCAACAGAGUAAGGACCUUAUUCCUCAGCUCUGGACACUGGGAUCCCAAGGACGCAGGCUGCCUCUGCUUGACUUUGUGGUAUCUCCUGGCCUUUCUUAGGAGAGCUUGCACCCACAGUGUCCAUUUCCUUAUCAACAAGGACACACAAUUCUGUUGGAUUGUGGUCCCACUGCUGGGUAGCCUCAUUCAACAAGGGUGUUCCUGUCACAGGACAUGUCUUCUGAUGGUCACUUUAGGCUUCAACAUAGGAACUUGGGGAUCAAAUGGUUAAAUCCUAACGGGAGAGUCUGGUAAUCAUCACAGAAAUUGGGGGGGGGGGGGGCAAGGCUGGGUCUUAUACCUCAAGAAAAUGAUUUACUGAGUGCACAGUACAUAGAAUUCACUCAAUACAUAUCACAGUCAUUUCCUAGCAAAUUCUGUUUUCACAAAAGCAUAAGUGGUGUAUGGGGACUCAGAACUAUUUCUCUUGUCUAUUCAUGUAAGAUUUUUCUAAAAAUCAUUGUCAAGCAGCGGGUCAAACAUAGACGGGGCACCAUGGAGAUCAGCACCACUGAGCAUCUCCUUCAGUCAUCUACUCUGCUGCUCUCACGACCCUCACAGGGUGGGCUGUCUGAAGAAGGCACCACAAAGUAGAAGCAGAAACCCCCGACAGAAAGAUGUGCAUAGAAAAUGUGACUUUGUGGUGGAAGUGAUCUGACCCCAGCCCUGCAGGUGGGUCACUGAAGACCCACCCCUGGAUACCAGGGCUAUGCCUGGAAGUAACUUCUCUUAUUUUUUUCAUGUUUCCCUAUUAAUCAUUUGAGUAGAUAUGAGAAGCAAUAUCAGGCUUCAUUAAGAGGGAGGCCAGUGACUUAGAAGCACAGUGUAGCAUUAAGGCCAAGUUUAUCAUGAGCUCCCUGCUUCCUGUUCCUAAGGAACAGAGCACUCUUGCUAUGAUCCAGCCCUUCUUCUGCAUGAGAUGAGCAUUCUUACGUGCAGAAACUCAGUCCAUUCAUGAAUAGUGAAUGCAUAGUGCAAUCAUGAAUAGCCAGAAGGCAUCAUGCAAGUAUAAGAAAGGGGACCUGAUCAUUUGUCUUAGGUGGAUGGCAGGGCUAAGAAAGAGAGUAAAACUUAUUCAAGUUAGUGGUACCUUCAAAGAAUAAGCCACCUUUAAAAAUAUACUUUAAUUAAUUCUUUGAGAUUUUCAGUGUAUUUUGAUCAUAUUCCCUCACAGUGUCCCCCACUAGCUCCUGCCAGAUCCACCCCACCGACUUUCCCCCAACUUUGUGUCUUUUUUAUUUUAUUUAAUAACUCAUAUUAUUAUAUAAUAACUCAGUUCAUGCUAUCCACAUACUUGUUCAUACAUGUACUGCAGUUUAGCUGACUUAACAGGAGCCACACUCAUAAGGAAAAUGGAGUCUUCCUCCCCGAGAAGCCACAACUGCUCACAGAUAGUAAGAGGUGGGACUGAUAAACCCCUUUUCACUUUACGACAGACUGUUGACAGGCCCAAUGUGGUAUGGCAGACAGCCACACCUGGGAUGACUUCAUGAGUGUCAUGGGCCUGUCAUCUCCAGAAGAUAUUGUUUGCUUGAGUCCUCCCCAGCCUCUGGCUCUUACCACCUUUCUGCUGUCUCAUCCACAAUGGUCCCUGAGACUUUAACCUAUGUGUGAGUGUGUGUAUGCACAGGGGUAGUAAGACAGAUUUCCCAUUUGUGGCUGGAUUCCACAGUUAUUUUUGUCUGCACUUUGAUCAGUUAUAAAAUUCUGCAUUAACUGCCAACCACUGCACAAAGAAACAUCUCUGCUGGAAUCUGAGAGCUGUACUAAUCUAUGGGUACAGAAAUGUGUGUCUAGAAGGUUGUUUGGCAUUAUGUUCACUUAGCAAAGUAAUAAUAAUAAUUAAUUCAUCCCCCAAACCCUAUGAGCACCCCAAUCAUGCUAGAUUUACAGCAGCAAACAUGUGUUUCACACUGGAGGAAUUAAAUCCAAGUAGAAAUAGUUGGUUACCCAGAUGACAUUCAUGCCACUAUUGCAUCUGUAAUCCUAUCUGGUCAUUAUUACAGUUCACAGGUUCAUAGCUAAAUAAUAUUUCUGAUGAUCUAUUGCCUUCAGCAGCCUAGACAGCACUGAUCAAAACUAUGAAUGCUAGACAGAAGGGAGGAAGCUUCCUCAUAAGUCUUGACUUGACUUCCUCAUGCCCAGUGAAGCCACCACUUUAAAUCCUUUUUCAAAUUUGUUGCAGGUUAACAUUGCUUUGUUUUUUCAGUAAUAACAAAAAUUUGAAUGGGCAGGGUGGUAUAGUUUUUGCUUUCGGGUCUUUAACCCAUAAUAUGUCUAAAUUUUAGUUACUUGAAAACAAAUUCUCACCAGACCUAUUACAGACUAUAUACAUAUGACAUAAAGUAUAUAUAAUAUGUUGUUGAAAAUAUUUAAUCUCAAUUAGGGACUUCUACUCAGUCUUUGAUUGUUCAAUUCUCAGAUAAAAGGCACAUUCAACCUUUAAUUUAUAAUAAGCCUUUACCAGCACUAAAGUUGGGCAGAUAUCUACCCUGUAUGCUAUUAGAAUCUACUUUCCUAUUGAUAACCCCAAGUUAUUACUUAUUGUGUUCCAUCUGGGCUGCUCUUAACUCUAAUUGGCUAGCCCUCAUGGCCAUGAUUUUAAGAAUCUUACUUCAUGGUGUCCUUUCUUCCCUCCAUCUUUCUCUCUCCUCAUGGUCUCCCUGGACCCCAAGCCCUGGAACCCCCAAACCUGCCUAUGUCUCUUCUGCUCAGCUAGUCACUGUGGGCAUCUUCAUUUAACCAAUAGUUUUAAAUCAAGGAGCAAGGUCACAUAGCAUGUGCGGAUUCUCUCAUUCCUGGUAGCAAUCUGGCCUUGAGGGGCAGUACUUACCAUUAUAAUACAUAUCAAAAGAUCACACCUCAACAACAAUAAAUAUGAAUUAUAAAUGAAUUAUCUGCAAAAUUUCCAUAGUUUGUGAAAAGUGUCCCAUGGUGAAAGAGGUUUCAUUAAAAUGCAUUGAAUUUUUCUCAUGCUAUUUGUUAUAUGCUAAGUAUAGGAAACACGGAUGGUCAAAUGGGUUAUCUGCCUUUAAUUCACUCCAAGAGCAAAGAAAGGAAAAAAGAUAUGUGAAACUGAAAAUUCUCUUUGCCCUAAUUAGCUCUCUUUCCAAAUUGAUUUUCUUUGUAAUUCACUGUUCCUACAGACAGCUACCUACUCAUCAAGCCUUGUAUCUCUAAAACCACAAUCGUCUUUGCUUUCCUUUGUGUGAUUUGAGGUUAAUCACAAAACACAACUGUACCCCUCAAGGACCAAUAGGAGGAAUUUCUGUGAGUAUCCUCCGGGGCAUCUGCUUUGAUGCUUGUUACAAAGCUCACCUUAGGGCUGUGGACAUUGAGAGUUGGGGCAAAUGUGUCCAUGCACCACUGAGGCAGAGGAGAAGAGGAGAGACUGUGGGCUCAAAUAAAGCCCUUCUUUGUCCUAGACAUUGGUGGAUGUGCUGAUGAAUAUUAGGGGGAGACAGCAAGAAAAGUCAGGAAGAAUUAUAGACGUCAAUGUGGUUGAAGACACUGGGGAUGAUGGCAGCAAAUCUCAAACCAAGCUUGAGAUUUGUUGAGGAAAGGUGAAAGGAGAGAUUCUUCACUGGGAACAUCUAUAUGGGCCUGCCAAGGCCUCUGUGUUAAGGAGAACAAGAUACUUCAGAACGGCCAGAUAAGGGGCCUGCAGAACAGGGUCAUGACUGACCCGUCCUAUUUCAAUCACAGGCCCAACCAUACCAAGGACUGGGCCUUUUGUACGUCUCAAGAUGACACAAUAACACACCAAUCUCUUGGAUGGGCAGAGGCCAGGGCAGAACCUAAAUCUACUCUCUCAUCUCACCUGUAGCCUUUGGACUUACCAGGUGAGUUCCAGCCCCUCUGGUUUGGCGUCUCCUGCCCUGUGGCUCCUACUUCACACAUUACUCUUCUGUCCUUUGGACUUAUUUGAGUUGGGCCAAGUGACUGAGGAAAGAGAGACUUCUGUCUCGGUGGCAGUUCCUGUAGAGCUUAGUCUGGAUGGAGCCUAUGGAAGCAGGCAGAUGAAUUCAACCUGCCUAGAGGAACAAGACAAGGUCAUUGGCAUUUGAGGUCACCAUAUCCCACCUGGAUUAGGCUGAACACUUGUACACCGUCCUGACAUCUAUUUUCUCCUAGUUUUGGAGCCUCAAACAUUCCUACAUUGCCUCAUAGUUUAACUCUAGUGGACAUGUGUCCUAAACAGAUCUAACAGGCACUCAUGUGAUAUAUGCCUUUCCCUUUAAUUUACCCAUCCAUCUAUUUAGAAGUUGCCCAUUAAACUAUUGCAACAAAACUAUAUUAACUUUCAUUUUAAGAUUUAAUUUUACUAUUUUUGAUUAUGUGUGUGUGUGUGUGUGUGUGUGUGUGUAUGCAUGUGUGUGUCUGCAUGUGAGUGUGUGUACAUGAAUAUAUGGUGUCUCAAAGGCCAGAGACAUCAAAUCUCCUGGAGCUAUUGUUACCAGUGGUUGUGAGCCACCUGAUGUGGGUACUUGGAACUGAACUCUGGCCUUCCAGAAGUGCAGCAAGUGUUGCUAACCAAUGCACCAUCUUUCUAGCAACCAGUACUAAUUUUCUGUAUACACAGAGAUAAUGAAUAUACAGUCUGUCUUAAGUAUGGUUACAUACUCUACAGAGAAUGUACAAAUACCAUAAAUAAUUUCCUUCACUUUACAAUGUGCCAGAGCCUACAGGGUGACAUUUACACAACGUGCUGAGUGAUGAUACAAAGGUUUUUGUCUUCAGUCUUUGAAUCAGAAGCUCUUGAUUUUUACACCUCUCUAGUGGAAAUGAUGUAGACUCAUCUUCCCAGAAAUAUAGAACUUGGCCUGGUUGCUCUGAAAACCCAGAAGUGACCCCAGAUCAACACUGCCCCCACUAGACGCUCUGCUGGCUCUCAGAGGUCGUAGUGUGGUAUGUUUACAAGUCUGAGGUCUCCAGAAAAAUAGUCCAGUCACAGCCCACUGUGCCUCCUGCUUUCAUCUGUGGUGACCAGACCAGGUUGCUGAGUCUGUACUGUGUACAGGCAGGAUGACUUCCUGUGAGACACAGAGCUAAGGAGCCACCCACUCUAUGGCACAGUCAUUCUGAGGAGAUAUACCAUUAUACUUGUGUGAAAAUGGUAAUGGCAACAGUCAUCCUGAGUGGAUUCACCAUUCUACUUGUGUGGAAACAGUAAGUAACAACCACAACAGCUAUCCUGACUGGAGGGCAGGAGGAACACAUUAUUACAAGAACAAUUAAAUGCUAUUCAUGGCAAUUGCUAAUUCACAGUCGUUAAAAUGCAAAGUUUUUCAUAAGAACAGACACAAACCAAUGUCCUAGCUGAAAUCGUCACUGAUGUGGUAAAAGGCAGCCUAGCCUCUAGAUGAGUUGGCAGCAUAUGAGAUAAGGUUCACAUUCUUGGGAGUAAAGAGUGGCUGUGGGACUUGGGGGAAACUCUUUAAUGUUGCAAAAUAUCUGAGGACAUUCACAUGCACACGAUAAGGUUAUAAUGGCCCUUGGGAUUUCCACUGAACAAAAGGUCCCAUCCAGCAGCAGGUGAAUAGAGCAGGCUAUGGCUGAAAAGGGUGUUUUAUUCCUGCCUUUGGAUGGAACUAUUUUGAUGCAAUGAAGGCUUAUGAGUAAGUUUUAAAAUCCAAGUUUAAUUUAAUGUUAUCAAACAAAAUUGUGGGACCUUUCCCCCAUGCUUUGCCAAUACUCCGAGCAUCAUAUUGAUUUCAGACUCCAUUUAUGAGCCAGGAAGACCCCGGGGGAAAUAUCCGUACUGGGAGGAUGCUGAGUCUGAUCAGAGAAGUGUUUGCACUUGCUUCUUGAGAGGCCUCAGAUCUUCUCCCCUUUCACACAGGAGACAGCCUAUCCCCUUUUAGAUCAAAAGCAGUUUGAAUAUGACUUAAUGGGGCUGGGGUUGUUUGUGAAGCUGAGAUCACUGGUUUAAUUCUUGUUUAAUAAUUCUUAUUUAUGAUAUCCAUGAAAGUGUUUACACUUUAAUGAGUCUCUGCCUGCUUGUCCUCAAAACAGGCUAUAGGGACAUCACAAGACAUACAUGAUAACAGCUAAUACUACAUACCAGCAGAAAGUUGAUAAGAUUCUGUCUUCAUCAUUGUCCCUGAUAAGGAUAUAACCUGAACAGUACAUCGCUCUGUCUGACCCACAGUGAUGAGUCAUGUGCCAUGAACAAAUAAGCUCUUGUCUAAUGUCAAUGGGAUUAAACUGAA
Mus musculus (house mouse) is the source of this 8580-nucleotide long non-coding RNA. RefSeq annotates it as predicted gene, 30401. The record is from RefSeq and is a predicted model, not a curated record. Lineage: Eukaryota; Metazoa; Chordata; Mammalia; Rodentia; Muridae. The transcript is spliced from 5 exons.